This 496-nucleotide ribosomal RNA is filed under the name uncultured bacterium. RNAcentral describes it as "partial 16S ribosomal RNA". It matches the Rfam family "Bacterial small subunit ribosomal RNA", at positions 29 to 507 of the family's 1533-position model. The record is from RNAcentral.
AUGAACGCUGGCGGCGUGCCUAAUACAUGCAAGUCGAGCGAACGGACGAGAAGCUUGCUUCUCUGAUGUUAGCGGCGGACGGGUGAGUAACACGUGGAUAACCUACCUAUAAGACUGGGAUAACUUCGGGAAACCGGAGCUAAUACCGGAUAAUAUUUUGAACCGCAUGGUUCAAAAGUGAAAGACGGUCUUGCUGUCACUUAUAGAUGGAUCCGCGCUGCAUUAGCUAGUUGGUAAGGUAACGGCUUACCAAGGCAACGAUGCAUAGCCGACCUGAGAGGGUGAUCGGCCACACUGGAACUGAGACACGGUCCAGACUCCUACGGGAGGCAGCAGUAGGGAAUCUUCCGCAAUGGGCGAAAGCCUGACGGAGCAACGCCGCGUGAGUGAUGAAGGUCUUCGGAUCGUAAAACUCUGUUAUUAGGAAAGAACAUAUGUGUAAGUAACUGUGCACAUCUUGACGGUACCUAAUCAGAAAGCCACGGCUAACUACGUG